UGGGGAAUAUUGCACAAUGGGCGCAAGCCUGAUGCAGCAACGCCGCGUGAGGGAUGACGGCCUUCGGGUUGUAAACCUCUUUUAGCAGGGAAGAAGCGAAAGUGACGGUACCUGCAGAAAAAGCACCGGCUAACUACGUGCCAGCAGCCGCGGUAAUACGUAGGGUGCAAGCGUUGUCCGGAAUUAUUGGGCGUAAAGAGCUCGUAGGCGGUCUGUCGCGUCUGCUGUGAAAUCCCGAGGCUCAACCUCGGGCCUGCAGUGGGUACGGGCAGACUAGAGUGCGGUAGGGGAGAAUGGAACUCCUGGUGUAGCGGUGGAAUGCGUAGAUAUCAGGAAGAACACCGAUGGCGAAGGCAGUUCUCUGGGCCGUAACUGACGCUGAGGAGCGAAAGCGUGGGGAGCGAACAGGAUUAGAUACCCUGGUAGUCCACGCCGUAAACGUUGGGCGCUAGAUGUGGGGACCAUUCCACGGUUUCCGUGUCGCAGCUAACGCAUUAAGCGCCCCGCCUGGGGAGUACGGCCGCAAGGCU
This 530-nucleotide ribosomal RNA is filed under the name uncultured bacterium. RNAcentral's name for it is "partial 16S ribosomal RNA". It matches the Rfam family "Bacterial small subunit ribosomal RNA", at positions 355 to 895 of the family's 1533-position model. The record is from RNAcentral.